UCACCCAUCUCCUCUCCGCCU
RNAcentral lists this microRNA (21 nucleotides) under Mus musculus (house mouse). Its description in RNAcentral is "mmu-miR-8114". The record is from miRBase by way of RNAcentral. Lineage: Eukaryota; Metazoa; Chordata; Mammalia; Rodentia; Muridae.